This 635-nucleotide long non-coding RNA is filed under the name Homo sapiens (human). RNAcentral's name for it is "non-protein coding lnc-MEX3B-1:4". The record is from RNAcentral. Lineage: Eukaryota; Metazoa; Chordata; Mammalia; Primates; Hominidae.
UACCACAAACUGAGUGGCUUAAACAACAGAAAUUUAUCGUCUCUCAGUUCUAGAGGCAAGAAGUCUGAGAUCAAGGUGUCAGCAGGGCUGGUUUCCUCUGAGGGCUGUGCGGGAAGGAUCUGUUCCAGGCCUCUCUGACUUGUAUGUGGCUGCCUUCUCCCGCCUUCACUUUGUCUUCUUUGUGCCAAGAACCCCAUGUGGGGCUGUGACAGGCAGAAGGAUGGCUCCUUGAAGAUACUCAUGUCCUAAUUCCCAGAACAUGUGAAUAUGCUACUUCAACAGCAAAAGGGACGUUGCAGAUGUAAAUUACGGACCUCGAGACCGGGAGAUUAUUCUGGAUUGUCUGGUGGACCCACUGUAAUCACAAGGUUCAUAUAAGGGAAAUAGGGAAGCAGGAGAGUCGGAGAAGGAGAUGGGAUGAUGGAGGCAGAGGUUGGAGUGAUGCAAUUGCUAGCUUUGAAGGUAGAGGAAGAGACCUUAAGCCAAGGAAUGUGGGUGGCUUCUAGAAGCUAAAAAAAGGCAAACAAACAAACAAACAACAACCCUGCAACAGAUUCUUCCCUAGACCCUCCAGAAGGAACACUGCCUUGCUAACACCUUGAUUUUAGCCCAGUAAAAUUCAUUUUGAACUUCUA